CGUAAUUUGUUAUUUAUACAGUAUAAAAUGAUCAAAUCAUUCUACUUCUUACAUGCAUAUCUAGAAAAAUAUGGCUAAAACUUUAAAGUUUGUGUAUGCUAUGAUUUUAUUUAUUUAUAUUUUUCUUGUCAUAAAGAACACCGAAGCAUAUCCUCCUUGUGAAACAGUUGCUGAUUGUCCAGAAAGUUACUUUCGAAUUUAUAGGUGUGAGAAUAACUUUUGCAGGUAUAGAGAAGCGGUACGACGGUUAAGGCCCCCAUUACGUAAGAAAUGACAAAACAAAAUGGAUAAUUGAGUGCAGGAAAGAAGGAGUUCUUACAUUAGUUAUUAUGUUGGCACUCAAUAAUUUUAGGUUUUAUUUAGAUUUCUUUGUGUAAUUGGUGUCUCUUAAAAUACUAUGAGUAUUUUAAGGUGGAAUAAUUUAGUGCAAGUAUGCACUAUCCAAGUUAUAUUAUAAAAAGAUAACGAUUCCACAUGGACUAGGAGCUAUAGCUCUCUAUAGCUUUCUUGUAGAAAACUUGUUUGCAAGAGAAUAAAAUAAAUUAUUUGUCACAACAAUAGAAGUAAAAGUUAAAGGUUUGGUAAAACAGUUAAAAAGACUUAGUAAUUCUCAAAGUUAAAAGUGUGGUUUAAACAAAGAUUCAGUUAUGAAA
Molecule: long non-coding RNA, 653 nt
Organism: Medicago truncatula (barrel medic)
Lineage: Eukaryota; Viridiplantae; Streptophyta; Magnoliopsida; Fabales; Fabaceae
Exons: 2
Source: RefSeq, a predicted model, not a curated record